AGUUAGUUUCAGAUUUUAUUGUUUAGUUAAUAGAAGCUCCCAAAAUCACAAACAUGAUUUCUAUUCAGUUGUAAUUUUUUUAUACGGCUGAAAUUACAAACACUGGAAAGAAGAAAAACAAAACACAAGCUAUCUACUCCUUAAAAAAUAACUACUCCAAAGCGCAUCAGCCAAAGAAGGCUUCAUUAAGCCUGGUGCACAGAAUGUAGUUGUCUCUGCUACAUCAGGCAAAGAACAUAUGAAGAUGGAGGUGUAACUUCAACUAGCUAUUUUCUCAUUACCCUCUUACACAUUAGAAAUUUGUGCAUAUAAAUUUUUGUUCAAAUUAAUGGUAAAUUGGUUACUAGGGUCAUGAUGACAAAAUAAUUGAACAUCUAUAGUUAUUAUAAAAUGCUAAUAUUGUACUGUGACAUGCGACUCUUUUACAAGGGAUGCUAUCAGAAACCUCAAAUAAAGCAUAGACAUACGACUCUUUUUGCAUGACUUAUUACUUGGCAUUAACCGUUUCACACUGUUUUGCUCAUGCUUUCAAUAAUGAAACUCAUGUCAUUACAAACUCACAUGUUGAAUUAUUCAUUCAUAUCUUAUAAAUCUGAAUUUUUCUUUGUAUAGUUUUGAACUCAGUUGGACAAAGCAACCUUGCUGGGUGACAUGAUUAUACAUUUGAAAGAGCUGAAAACAAAUGCAGCACAAGCUAGUGAAGGCCUAAUGAUACCAAAGAACAAUGAUAAAAUAAGAGUCGAAGAAGGAGGAUUUCUACAUUCAGUUCUUUAUCUAUAAGAGAUUUCUUAUAAGAACUUUUCUUUUUAAAUGUGUAAUUUAAAUCUCCAUAUGCAUAGCAUAUAUCUAAAUAUGAUGAGGGAGUGAGUGAGAUUAGCAAAUAGCAAUUUCACUUGUUAGAGAAGCUGUACAUUCUGAAAAUCAUGUGAAUCUGGUUGUACAUGUAUCAGAAGCAUAAUAGCAACUUUACUCAGGUUAUGCGCACUUGCUGUUGUUGAGUCAUUCAGCAUUGCUACUCAGGAUUACU
RNAcentral lists this long non-coding RNA (1027 nucleotides) under Glycine max (soybean). RNAcentral describes it as "long non-coding RNA (GMAX_LNC000097)". Lineage: Eukaryota; Viridiplantae; Streptophyta; Magnoliopsida; Fabales; Fabaceae. The record is from RNAcentral.